UAGCGCGUCACUCACGGUCAAUCCAUCAGCCGGGCAGGACCUUACGUCUCUUCUGCCGAGACCACGAUUUUAAGCCGAAAUUUUAAGUUUCUUUGCUCCAGUAGAGCAAUCAGUCACUAGAGGUCACAGUUUUAAACUACAAGUUCCCCUGGCCAAGACUAGAGCGAGGAGUCAGGUUUUCAGUGUUAGAACCGUGUCAAGCUGGAACGCCCUACCUGAGUCAGUGGUUUCAGCGGAUAGUGUAAACCAGUCCAGACUUGACAAACACUGGGAUUGCCGAAAGUAUAUCACGUGAAGAGCGAAGUCAAGAUCAAGACACAACAGGCUGAAAAGCAUUCUUUCCUGGAUGCAGUAUCAAGGUAAAUGCUGUACUAUGCCACGACGGCAUAGUAUUAGCACCAGUGGCUGCUACGGGCUUCGCAGUGAGUUCAGAGCAUUUGCGAGUUACACCAAGACGUCAAGACAAUGCUCGAGGACAUGCAAGGACUUACUUCUAAAGCUUAGCCCGACUAGAAGAUCCGGAGAUGCUUAAUCUUGAAGAGAAGACAUUCCCUGCAUGGACCGUUCGUCAGUUGCCUGCCCCCAUGUUUUUCAUCGAGACAAUGAGCUGAUGAACAUGCAGUCAACCCGACAUCCGACAAGAAAUGUCUGGUACGGGAGGUGUCCAGCGCCAGUCACUAAAGGUGCUUCACUGCAUCGAGUGCAUCACCAAUUACAAGCCAGGGAUCUAAGCGUCAAGCGAUUCUACGGACUUAAUGUGGUUUUUAAAGUAAGA
Branchiostoma floridae (Florida lancelet) is the source of this 775-nucleotide long non-coding RNA. RefSeq lists it as uncharacterized. Lineage: Eukaryota; Metazoa; Chordata; Leptocardii; Amphioxiformes; Branchiostomatidae. The transcript is spliced from 3 exons. The record is from RefSeq and is a predicted model, not a curated record.